UACGAAGGGGGCUAGCGUUGUUCGGAAUCACUGGGCGUAAAGCGCACGUAGGCGGAUUGUUAAGUCGGGGGUGAAAUCCUGAGGCUCAACCUCAGAACUGCCUCCGAUACUGGCGGUCUCGAGUCCGGGAGAGGUGAGUGGAACUGCGAGUGUAGAGGUGAAAUUCGUAGAUAUUCGCAAGAACACCAGUGGCGAAGGCGGCUCACUGGCCCGAUACUGACGCUGAGGCACGAAAGCCAGGGGAGCAAACGGG
RNAcentral lists this ribosomal RNA (253 nucleotides) under uncultured bacterium. RNAcentral's name for it is "partial 16S ribosomal RNA". It matches the Rfam family "Bacterial small subunit ribosomal RNA", at positions 524 to 776 of the family's 1533-position model. The record is from RNAcentral.